Molecule: long non-coding RNA, 1620 nt
Organism: Zonotrichia leucophrys gambelii
Lineage: Eukaryota; Metazoa; Chordata; Aves; Passeriformes; Passerellidae
Exons: 5
Source: RefSeq, a predicted model, not a curated record
AGUUUUGUGUGAAUUGGUUUGUAAAAAUAAUUUUGUAGCCGUUGAUAUUAUGUGAUUGAGUUUUGUGUAACCCUGGCAAGUAGCUUUAGAAACCUAAUAAACAUUAAGCCAGGGUAGGAGAGUAAGAAGACUAACCAGUUUGGGGAUAGCAUACAAUAGGACAGGUAGAAGAUUUAUGAUUUUGCUCGUGAACUAGGGAAUGUAUUACAAGGGUCCGUAGUUUGGCGAAGGUCCACUGUUUCUUGGAGACUUUGCGAAGGGCCACUGUUUCUUGGAGACUUUGUUAUGAAUUGCUUGUGUAUAAAAGGAAAACACCCAUGUGUGAAUUUUGGGGUUCUGUUUUUGGGGACGCUAGUCCGCAGGCCCCCGGGCCCUUCAAUAAAGCGCCGCACAAAACUUAUCCGAGUUUUGUGUCCUUUAUCAUUCGGGCAACAGUUUUCUGGCGACCGCGGCAGGACUCCGAGGGUCGCUGGGGCGGUUCGCGUCUCGAUCCACUCCAAGCCGGCGCCGAGCACUUCUCGGAGGAGUCAUCGGGUCGUGCCCGACCCCCCGCGCCUGUCGGACGACUGCAGAAGAAAUACGUUACAGUGGAAUAAACCGCUCACGCUGGAGAACUCUGUCCACGACAUCCAGCCUGGGGACCAAGUGUACAUCAAGAAGUGGAUUACGGAUCCGCUACGGGAAUCAUGGAGCGGACCCCACCAGGUGAUGAUGACGACCUACACGGCGGUGAAGGUCCAGGGGAUGGACGCUUGGAUCCAUUACACCAGGCCAGAAAGUUGAGGCCAGUGAAGUUAUUGCAAUAUGGCAACGGGGGGCUGAAAGAAGCCGAGGCAAGACAGAAGUCGGUUGGGAUCAGGAUAAACAACAAGGAAACACGGUACUGAAUCUUACUAAGGCUGCAGGUGAACCAAUUCCCUGGGGAAUAAUACCGGUAACCAAAAUGCCUGAAUCAUUCAAGAAUGUUUCAUGGUCCUGCCAGUCAGUUCCUAAACAAGUAGAGGUGUGAUUGAAAAGGAAAGGAAGCGAUCUAUCCGGUUGCUGAAGGUGAUGACCCGUGGGCGGCAGAACGAAGAACAUCCCCCACCUUGCUAUGAAGAUGUUACUGUCAAUACCGUUGGUUGAGCAUCCUUGCAGCAGGACUGAAGGAUGCUCAAAAGGGGGGAAAUGUUGGAAAAGAAAUGAAAUUUGGCAAAAUGUUUUAUUAUAGUUUAGUUGUGAGUUUUGUGUGAAUUGGUUUGUAAAAAUAAUUUUGUAGCCGUUGAUAUUAUGUGAUUGAGUUUUGUGUAACCCUGGCAAGUAGCUUUAGAAACCUAAUAAACAUUAAGCCAGGGUAGGAGAGUAAGAAGACUAACCGGUUUGGGGAUAGCAUACAAUAGGACAGGUAGAAGAUUUAUGAUUUUGCUCGUGAACUAGGGAAUGUAUUACAAGGGUCCGUAGUUUGGCGAAGGUCCACUGUUUCUUGGAGACUUUGCGAAGGGCCACUGUUUCUUGGAGACUUUGUUAUGAAUUGCUUGUGUAUAAAAGGAAAACACCCAUGUGUGAAUUUUGGGGUUCUGUUUUUGGGGACGCUAGUCCGCAGGCCCCCGGGCCCUUCAAUAAAGCGCCGCACAAAACUUA